RNAcentral lists this ribosomal RNA (2129 nucleotides) under Salmonella enterica subsp. enterica. Its description in RNAcentral is "partial 23S ribosomal RNA". It matches the Rfam family "Bacterial large subunit ribosomal RNA", at positions 200 to 2338 of the family's 2925-position model. The record is from RNAcentral. Lineage: Bacteria; Pseudomonadati; Pseudomonadota; Gammaproteobacteria; Enterobacterales; Enterobacteriaceae.
AUCUUAGUACCUGCAGGAAAAGAAAAUAAAUAAUGAUUCCCCUAGUAGUGGCGAGCGAACGGGGAUUAGCCCAAACCACCCAUGUUACGGCAUGUGUGGGGUUGUAGGACCACGCUCUCGCAAGACAGUUAUUGAGAAGAAACGACUGGAAAGUCGUGCCAUAGACGGUGAUAGCCCGGUAUUCUAAGGUAACCGAAGCGUAGUGGUAUCCUGAGUAGCGCGGAGCACGAGGAAUUCUGCGUGAAUCAGCCGGGACCAUCCGGUAAGGCUAAAUACUCCCGAGAGACCGAUAGCGAACCAGUACUGUGAAGGAAAGGUGAAAAGCACUUCGAAUAGAAGAGUGAAAUAGUCCCUGAAACCAUGCGCCUACAAGCGGUCGGAGCAGCUUAAGUUGUGACGGCGUGCCUUUUGCAUAAUGAACCUACGAGUUACUUUUUCCGGCAAGGUUAAGCAUCUUGAGAUGUGGAUCCGAAGCGAAAGCGAGUCUGAACAGGGCGGAUAGUCGGAAGGAGUAGACGCGAAACCAAGUGAUCUACCCUUGGGCAGGUUGAAGGUUAGGUAACACUAACUGGAGGACCGAACCGAUAAGCGUUGAAAAGCUUCCGGAUGACCUGAGGGUGGGGGUGAAAGGCUAAUCAAACUUGGAGAUAGCUCGUACUCCCCGAAAUGCAUUUAGGUGCAGCCUUGAGAGUUACUAAUGUGAGGUAGAGCGACUGAUAAGAUGCGAGGGCUUCACCGCCUAUCAAGUCUUGAUAAACUCCGAAUGCGCAUUAGUUCUAUCUCAGGAGUGAGGGCAUGGGUGCUAAGGUCCAUGUCCUAAAGGAGAAGAAUCCAGACCAUCAGCUAAGGUCCCCAAAUAAACACUAAGUUGAACUAACGAAGUCAGAUUGCUAAGACAGCUAGGAUGUUGGCUUGGAAGCAGCCAUUCAUUUAAAGAGUGCGUAACAGCUCACUAGUCGAGGAGUUUGGCGUGGAUAAUAAUCGGGCAUAAGUGUUUUACCGAAGCUAUGGGAUACGUAAGUAUCGGUAGGGGAGCAUUCCACUCAGCGUUGAAGGCGAAGCGUGAGCUUUACUGGAGCGUGUGGAAAAGCAAAUGUAGGUAUAAGUAACGAUAAAGGGGGUGAGAAACCCCCUCGCCGCAAGACUAAGGUUUCCUGAUCAACGCUAAUCGGAUCAGGGUUAGUCGGGUCCUAAGGCUCAGCCGAACGGUGAGGCCGAUGGCAGAACAGGUUAAUAUUCCUGUACUACCUAUAGGAGUGAUGUGGAGACGGAGGAGUGACAACGCCGCGGACUGACGGAAUAGUCCGUUAAAGGGUGUAGAUGUUGAUUAUCCCAGGCAAAUCCGGGAUAAGAGUCGAACCUGACAGUAUACCAAUUUCCUCGGAAAACGGUAAUAGUGCGUGUAAACAUACUCCCAAGAAAAUCCGCUAAACUUAAUCUUAUAGGUACCCGUACCGUAAACGGACACACGUAGUCGGGUUGAAUAUACUCAGGCGCUUGAGUGAAUCACGGUUAAGGAACUAGGCAAAUUGACCCUGUAACUUCGGGAUAAAGGGUCCCUACCCGGUGACGGGAGGGCGCAGAGAAUAGGUCCAGGCAACUGUUUAACAAAAACACAGGGCUGUGCAAAAUUGAAAGAUCACGUAUACAGCCUGACACCUGCCCGGUGCUGGAAGGUUAAGAGGAGAUGUCAUCGCAAGAGAAGCAUUGAAUUGAAGCCCCAGUAAACGGCGGCCGUAACUAUAACGGUCCUAAGGUAGCGAAAUUCCUUGUCGGGUAAGUUCCGACCUGCACGAAUGGUGUAAUGAUCUGGACACUGUCUCAACCGUGAGCUCAGUGAAAUUGUAGUAUCGGUGAAGAUGCCGAUUACCCGCGAUGGGACGAAAAGACCCCGUGAACCUUUACUAUAGCUUAACAUUGAAUUUGGGUAAUUGAUGUGUAGGAUAGGCCGGAGACUUUGAAGCAGGCACGCCAGUGUUUGUGGAGUCGCUGUUGAAAUACGGCCCUUUGGUUAUUUGAGUUCUAACUCGCUGAUGCGAGGACACUGUUUGGUGGGUAGUUUGACUGGGGUGGUCGCCUCCAAAAGCGUAACGGAGGCUUCUAAAGGUGCCCUCACGCCGAUUGGUAAC